RNAcentral lists this long non-coding RNA (325 nucleotides) under Calidris pugnax (ruff). RNAcentral's name for it is "lncRNA (ENSCPUG00000018952.1)". Lineage: Eukaryota; Metazoa; Chordata; Aves; Charadriiformes; Scolopacidae. The record is from RNAcentral.
CUGUGACAUGAGCGACUGAAACUCCAACCAUCUGUGUCAGAGAAAGGACAGAGCUGCAAAAGGCCCAGGGGUCAGCACCGGGAGGAGAAGAUGCAGUGAAAAGGGAAAAAGCAGAUCCCGGAUCCGGGUGGGCGACGCGCAGACGGGAGCUCUCAAGAAAGCUAAGGCAUCGAUCCCCCUUAGAACAGGAGCCCAGGACAGUCUCAUGCCCCAUGAGCUGAGUUCAAGCACUGGCAGAAGUGGUGCCAGGAGGAGAGCAAGAGGUCUCCUCUGCUGCCCGAGGAGCGAGGAGCUGGGAUACUGACUCUCCCCCCUCCAUCCCAUG